Molecule: ribosomal RNA, 468 nt
Filed under: uncultured bacterium
Lineage: Bacteria
Description: partial 16S ribosomal RNA
Rfam family: Bacterial small subunit ribosomal RNA
Source: RNAcentral
GACGAACGCUGGCGGCGUGCUUAACACAUACAAGUCGAACGGAAAGGCCCUGCUUUUGUGGGUUGCUCGAGUGGCGAACGGGUGAGUAACACGUGAGUAACCUGCCCCUGACUUUGGGAUAACCUCAGGAAACUGGGGCUAAUACCGGAUAGGAUCUCCUGCUGCAUGGUGGGGGUUGGAAAGUUUCGGCGGUUGGGGAUGGACUCGCGGCUUAUCAGCUUGUUGGUGGGGUAGUGGCUUACCAAGGCUUUGACGGGUAGCCGGCCUGAGAGGGUGACCGGCCACAUUGGGACUGAGAUACGGCCCAGACGCCUACGGGAGGCAGCAGUGGGGAAUAUUGCACAAUGGGCGGAAGCCUGAUGCAGCAACGCCGCGUGCGGGAUGACGGCCUUCGGGUUGUAAACCGCUUUCGCCUGUGACGAAGCGUGAGUGACGGUAAUGGGUAAAGAAGCACCGGCUAACUACGUG